Molecule: long non-coding RNA, 29123 nt
Filed under: Olea europaea (common olive)
Lineage: Eukaryota; Viridiplantae; Streptophyta; Magnoliopsida; Lamiales; Oleaceae
Description: long non-coding RNA (OEUR_LNC005743)
Source: RNAcentral
AUUGUGUGUUGUUAGGUACAAAUCGACAUAUAUGAUGAAAUUGUAUAAAAAUGGUAAAAAGGAGCUCAAUUGUAAGAGUUCCAAAGUUUUAAGACUAAAGUACAAAUAAUCAAAAAUUGUGUCAAACCCCACGAUGAAGAUUCGAGAGCGCUAGGAUCAAUUAGAUGAGAAAAGAAGUCAAGUGGAUGAAAUAUAAUUAAAGUAUUUUCACACCAAUUUUCAGUUGAAAAAGUUAUGGUCCGAAUUUUUAGCCUCAUAUUGAUACCCAUUUUUGGCAUAGUAAAUGUUCAAAUUUGAAAAUUUUAUUUCUAUGAGAGUUAUCGUUAUUUGAGUUAUCUUUUCCAACAUACUUUGAAUCUCCUUGAUUGGAUAUCGGGAGAGAAUAUUACAACAAAACUACUGAUGGUUGUCCAGAACAUGAACUAAGGCAGACAAGGUGCGUGCUUGAGCCUCUUCUGAGGCCACUUGAGGCUUGCAAACCACUUGAGGCGAGGAAAUUCCUGUUUUCCUCAUUUUCUUUUAGUAAUUGUAGAAUGCAAUCUUUUCGCAUUUUAUAUAUUGGGAGGCACAUCCAAAAGGGUUUAAGUGGAGGUUUUAUCAUUAUUUGAGGUAGAGAAGAUGGAAUUUACAUCAAGGAGUGAAAUUUCAUAGCUUGGGUCGAAGAUUAAAGUGAAGAUAUUGGAGUUUUCAAACUCUUUGUUAGUACUAAGACCUAGUUAAUUAACCGUUUUCGCACAAUUACUCGUUUCAUUCAUAAUACACCAGCCAGUCAAAACUUCCUACGGGCAUAUUUACGUACAGUUCUGAAUGGGACAACUUAACAAAUUUGUGUUCUUCAAGAUAUAAUCUAUUGUAGAAUUAAAUGAAAAUGAACACCAAAUAUAACGUGGUAAACCCAUAAGGGAAACAUCAACUGGCCUCAUGCCUUGGGUAAAAUAAUACACUCUCAAAGAAUAAAAAUACAAUAGUUUUGGUUCAGUUAUUUCGGAAAAUUAAUUAAAACAAUCAAAAGUAAAUAAAGCACAGCUCACUCAUUUUCUUAUUACUUUUGAGUUGUUGGAGUGGUGGAAUCGAACCCUUCGAUCUUGACUUUAUCACCACUUCACUAUUGUAUUUGGCCGCAACCAGCACUUGGAUUAAUAUUCACCAAUCUUUAACUCACACCAACUAGCUUGAUCUUUGAGUAUGAUUAUAUCAUUCACGUACAAGUGUAUUCUCUUCAAUUACAGUUGAAGAACAUGGUUUCUGCUUAGAGAUACUUCAAUGGAACAUUAGCUGGUCAAAACUCACUAAAGAUGGUUAGAAGACUUCAAAACUUGCUAUUUUAGGUUCGCUUGGCAUAGGCAUAUUUUUCUUAAAGCCUUCGUUGGUCCCUCAGUGAUCUUCUUUACUUAUGUAAUUGGUCCAUUAAUGAUCUUCUUUACUUAUGUAAGGACCCCUUUAAGGCACGAACGUGUCUUACCUAAAAUAUGAAAGUUUUGCACUGUAAGAAUAAUAUAAAAUAUGUUUGAUAUGGUCAAUAAUUAAAUUAUUAAUUCAUUAAAGCAGUCUUUCCUUCUUUUACUUAUUUGACCGGUCAAACCAUUUCAAUAGGGUAAAUAUAUAUUUAUGUAUCUGUAUAAAAUAUGUUUGAUAUAGUCAAUAAAUAUAAAUUAAUAAAAGUUUUGAUUUGUUAAAACGAUCUUUCCUUCUUCUUCUUCUUCUUCUUCUUCUUCUUCUUCUUCUUCUUCUUCUUUAUUUAUUUUUAUUUUUAUUUUUAACUAAUCAAACCUAUCCUAGAUGAUAAGUAUAUUUUCUUGUAUAUGCUACUAUAAGGGAGGUAAAUAUUGCACUUCCUUUAGGGUUUAAAAACCCUAAAAACCGCAAUCAAGAAUUUGUUAACUCGUAGUACUAGUCAGUCCUAACCAACUAGCUUACCUUGUUUGGACUGCAUUAGUUGAACAUUUUUUUUGGCACAUGUUUUGGCAUUUAAAAAUCAUUUUAAUUUAAGCAAGCAAAUAGACAAGUGAUAAGUAAAAGCAUAAAAUAUAUUUUACUUACACUCUUCAUCAUAUUCCUUGCUCGGGGUGAUGUUUUUUCUUAUUAUUAUUUUUUUUUUGUAAUUUUCAUAAGGCAAAGCUAGGUUAAACAAUUUUAUGUAUUGGAUGGAUGAUAAAACUGUUGAUUUAUAGUUUAUAAUUCAAGACUUAUUGAUUCUUUAGUUAAUUCUUGUGUUUGUGAUUGAAUAUGCAUUAAUUAUAUGUUGUUUGAAUGUUCGACCAUCAUUUCGACAACUAGUUUUUUAUUUGUAGUUUUGAGAGACUCACAAUAAGUAAAACACACGGACAAUAGAUAUUAAGAACAAUGUUUAUGACGUGGCAAUUUUAUGUGAUAUUCUUGUGAUUGAAUACAUGCUUUGUAUAUGAUUUGAAUUAAGAAUAGGAUCGGGUUGUGUUAAGCAUAGAUUUAAUAUAUUUGGAAGGUAAUAUUAUGUAUUAACAGAUUAUUGACUGUUAUGAACACAUUAAUAAUGCUAACUCACAAAAGUCAAGAAUUGAAACUAGACAUUAUUAGGUGGACUCUGAUAUCCAAUACAUUCAUCUCAUAUUUGAUUAAUCACCAAUCUCUUAGAACUUUCAUAGUUUAGUUAGAAUUAAAUAAAAAAUAUCAACUCUUUUGUGUUACCAAAUUUGGUAGAAACUGGUAAACUAUAAUUACAUUUAUUUCUCGUGGGAUGAUAACCCAACUCACUACAUUAUUAUUUGUUAAUGACCUCGAAUGCUUGCAUGUUUUGUAUGAAUAGUGGACAACGAGAAAAAUCAAUUAUCAAAAUAAUCUGUUUUGUUAACAUGCUUCAAUUUUGCAACUUUAGAAAGAGCAAAGUUUUCAUUAGAAACUUUCUAGAGUACAUCGUUCGAGUGCUGCUGUUUGGAUGAUGAGUCAAACAAUUCUCUUCGAUUCCGGUCUGAUUUUCAUAAAACUGCUAAAAAAAUUCAAAAAAAGAGACAAAAAGAGAACCCCCAUACCUGGGUCAUGCAUACGUCGUGCAUGUAUUGUGUGUUUGUUCUUCAAGAGGAAAAAAAUUAUUAAUAGUGUGUGUGUGUGUGAAAAUCAAAGUUGUUGAAAGAAACAACUCUUGUUUCCCUCCCAUUGUUUGAUCCAUGUAUCCCAUUUUGCAUUAUUAAAAAUUAUCCAAAUUACUUUUGAUAAUUUGUCACAUUUCUUUACAACAAGUACUACUUACAUAGAUAUACUAGCUAUCAAGGAAAGGGUGAUUAAAAAAUCAUUAUUAGAUUUGGUAAUUUGCUUUAGUUUUUGCAAUUCAAGUAGCUUUUGCAAUGUUACGUAUACUUCAGUUUGUUUCUUCCUAUAUUACGUGGCUCAUACAACUGCCUUCUUUAAUUUUUUGAUGUGGUGUAAUAUAUUCAAGUUACGAAUUCUAGGGUGAUUUUUCCAAGGCUUCAGGUAGAUAUAUUAAUAAAAAUGGAAGCUAACUUAUCACUUUCUGGUGAUAUGAUGCAAGUCAAUCCCCAACAAGCUCCGUAAUUAUACAUGGCAAGUUCUAGAUGCUUUCUCUUUUUAGGUUUGUAGCAUGCAAAAUUUUAAUUAGCCUACGCUGUUAUUUGAAGGAAACAUAGACGAGAUUUUUUGGAAACAGCCAAUGGACGAAUAUUCUAGGCACUCUUAGUGAGCAGAAUCAAGUAGAUGCAGAGAAAAGGGAACCCGUGUGGUAGGGAUAAAAUAAACAGAUGAAAUGUUUAUGCAUUUGAUAAUAGAGAAAACAAAAUUGUUUAUUAGCAUUAGAUGAAACGUACAGAUAUUUUCAUUUGAAUUUAAACAGCAGUCAAGUGGUUGUUGGGAUUGUUGCGAGUCAGGCUCAAGUUGCACAAGACCAUGGCUGUGUUAUUUGAGAUUGAAAUAGCGACGCCCAAGCUCUAGGGACUUGUGACAUUACUAAGUUAUUAAAUUUGCAAAAUUCUACCUAGAUUGUUCAUAAAAGUACAGAAAUUAACUUGGAUUAGAAGCAUUAUAGCUUCAGUGAAUCCGUUGCAAAACUAAAUAAGUUUUCUUUCGAAAAUUUUGGAUUUUCAGAUUGCGCAGCUUUCUGAAAAACAAAAAAUCCAUUUGACAACCAAAUGAUAUCCAAAAUUUACAAAAUUUAAACUGUACGCGUCUUCCACAUAGAAAAUUUACAGUUAAAAUCUCGUAAGCAAAUUCAAUCAAUAGAUAGGUCAAAAUUGUUUUCAAAAUCAGAUCUAUUUGUUCUUGGGUACAUUUUGGUAGCUGUCAGGAGAAUGUCCAUAACUUGAGUUUUACAUAAUUAAAAUUCAUGGUUCCAAUUGUCCAAGAGAUAGAUAAUCCAUAUGGAUACCUUUUCCUACUAGAAUCACCACAAAAUUCAAAGUAUUAAGGUCCAGGUGAAUUUUUUACAGAAACAGAAAAUAUUUUAAACACUAUUCUUACCGCUUAAUUGAACAAAAUAAACCACAAUGAAAUAUCCUAUUCACCUUGAACAAAUUUCCAUUACAUAGUUCAGUGUUUAAACAUCCGAAAACACUAAAUUAAAAUAUUUUAGAAGUUGAAAUAAUUAUUUGAACAUAACUUGACUUAAAUGAUGAUUUUUGGAGUUCACAUCGAGGCAUCACCACUCUCCUCCAUGUCGCCAUCGAUCACAUUUAUCUAAAAUUGUUGGGGGUUGAGUGUCUUACGAAAACACUCCAUAGACUUAUAUGCACGUUAAAUCCAAUUUUUAAUAGUUUAAGCAUAUAUCUAUGUCAUUUAAACUUUUGAUAAAUAAGGACAUCGAUAAUCAUGCAACAUACCAACAUAUGGUGCACUACUACGCCAGCAACUUCAAAUUUCUAGUGCAUGAUAAGUGCAUUUUACACACUUAUUCAAGAUUUAAAAAAUGACAUUCUAUACUUCUUUUGAUGAAAUAUAGCUUAAUUCGUGUUAUAUUGUGUCUAAUAGAUAAAACUGAUGAUUUGAUGAAGAAUUGGAGAAAAUAAGCGAAAAUUGGUGAAAUUAAAACUAUGAGGACUAAAAUGUAAUAAUUCAAAAGUUGUGAUUGGAUUGCGAGAUGGUGAUUCAAGAAUGCCAAGAGUCAAUUGGAGUUACAGAGAAGUCAACAAGAUAAGAAAUUAUCGAAAAGGAUCAAAAAUGUAUUGCGAAAACUUUCAGGACCAAUUUGCAAAACUGGCCAAAUUGGUUCCAAAAAUGUGUACCAUGCUUAAGCAUAGUAAAUUCCUACCUAACACUAAGUCAUGCGUAUUGUGCUCAAGCCCAAAUGAACUGUGCUUAAGCAGGUUCAAUUUCGGGAAAAAAAUUCUUUCCUUAUCUUGUCUUAGAAACUUUUUAUACACAAUUUUUUGACACUCUAUAAAUACCAAAAGCCAUCCUAAACGUGGAGAACAUCCCUUUGGCCUAAAAAUCACAUAUUCUACGUAUUCUGGAGGCAAAGAACAAGGAACAAUCAUCAACCUUCCUUCAUUAUUUCUCGAUCCGGGUGAUGUCUUUUCAUUAUUUAUUUUAUAGCUUAAUGGUUGGCAAGAUUUUUCAAGUGUAUUGGAUGAAUGUUUGAACCUUGCUUUCAUUUAUUUUAAUUCAAGACUUCAAUUUAGGAAUUUCAUGCUAUUACUUGAUUGAUUUUACAAACCCAUUGCACUACUUAUUGCUUGAUCACCAAUUAAGUAGUUAGAUGCUCUUUGUAGCAUAUAAAUACUCAUAAUGAGUUUAGAACACAGUAAAAUCAACAUGAUUAUUUAGAAUUAGGAAUAAUCUAUCUUACACAUGCAAUCUUAUUGACAAUCUAAACUAAAUGCAUGACUUUAAUAUGAAUUCGGACUAGCUAGGAAUAGGUUCGUAUUGUGUUAGUUAUAGGUUAGUAUAUCUUAGAAAAGAGCAUUUAACAUAUUAGCUUUAUCGAUCAUCAAAAAUACAUGAAUUGAAUAGAAUAAUUAUUGAGAAUUGAAAUUAAUGGUAAUAAGGGAUACGUGAAUCUAAUACAAGCAUUUACAUUAGAUUUAAUUACUUUUUAAUCACUCUCUUAGAGGAGAAUUAGAAUAAAUAACAAACUAAUCACAACACUUUUGAUGUCAUCACUUUGAAUUAAUAGUAGCUACUGAACUACACAUUAGACCUUAUUUCUCGUGGGAACGAUACUCUUAACUUAUAAAUUUUAUUACUUGUACAACAUGUAAGUAUUAUGCCCUAGGUCCAAUCAACUUUGGACAUAAAUACUUUUAUAUAUAAUUAAUGCAAUUAAAUGACAGAUCUAUUAUUUAAUUAAUAGACAAUUAAAUAAAUAAUAAAGUCCGUAGAUUCAAAUAUUUGUAAUUUAUUAAUCACAAGAAAUUGUGAUUGUGAGAUACAAAUUACAUCUGAUUGAAUCUUAAAUCAUCCGUGGUCGUGAGUAAUAACGAGAUACAGAUAUCGUUAUUAUAGAUAGACCAUCACGUGUGGCAUUUCUUACUUGUGAAGUGAGUAGCUAAUCUCACAAGUUAAAGUGUGGUGACACUUAAAUAAACAUGUGGAUGUUUUGUUAUAGAACAAAACAUUGGACACCCGUCGAGAGAUUCCACAUGGAUAACUAUUUGAGUGUCAGUGGUUAAUUUCUAACGUUCGAUAGUGGAAUUAGUCCUUUGACUUGAGGUCGUCAUGGUACCUUAUAUGAGGACAGUCAUACUUUGGCGAUAUUGGAUGUUGCUCUGAAAAGGGCUGCUAAUACGACAUCGUUCGGGGCGUCAAGAAUCGUAUGAAGGUUGUGAUUGAUCAAUAAAGGAUUCAUCACUCUUAGAUAGUAGGAGAUUAUGAUCUGCGUUUCAUUCAAUUAAGUCAAUGAUGAAAUCCUUGGUCAAGGUGUACUCAUAAGUCGAAAAAGAGUUUUCGACUUAUAUUGACUUAAUAGUGGAGUGAAAGAUAUGAUCGAUGAUCAAGAUUGACACAAUUCCAUAUCUCAUAAUUGAUCAGAUCAUAUUGACGAAGGGAUUAUAGUUUCACGGUAAACGAACGAAUUUGGUUUUGUCAUACCACGUGACAUUUCCCAUCACAUGUAUUGCCCUGACACAUUGCUAAAUGUCAAUCAGGGACGGCGAGUGUGAAUUGACGAUAAAUUAAAAGGGUGUUUUAAUUUAUCAAUUUUGAUUAGAUCAAAAUAAUAUUUCACGUCGUUAGGUAUCGGGAACCUAGUGGGUCGCACAUAAAAGAGAAUUGGAAGAUUGCAAAUUUUCAAUUGGUUAAUUUAACAAUCGUUGGAUAAAUUAAUUAAUUGGAUUUGUUAUUUAUAUUCCCAAAUUAAUUAAUUAGAUUAAUUAAUUCACGGACCGGAUUUAGUUAAUUGGAUUAAUUAAAUAUUAGACAGGACUUCGCCGAGCCCGUUUGAGUUUAUAUAAAUACAUAAUUAGGGUUUGAGGUCCAUAUGAUUUUCAUUAUUCUUGCUGGCAUAAGAGAGAAAACCCUAGAAACUGCAAUCUUAUUCUCUGUGUGGAUCACCGUUGGAGGCUGGACAAUUGGACAGCUGUGGUGGCGAAUCAAGAUUGCUGGAACGAGAAGAAAAGCAAAAAGUUAGCAGAAUUCUUCAAAGGUACAAUCUUUAUCACGAUUUCUAUCUAAACACAAAGGGAUCCUCGAUGGGAAUCGAAAAUUAUUUUAAAUUUCGCUGUGCAUAUAUAAGUAGAUUCCCAACAGUGGUAUCAAAGCCUACUUUGUGUUUGUUAGAGAUUGUUUAUUGUCUUGUUUAUGUAAAUAAUCAAAAAGUUGAUUGUUGGUUUCUUGUUUCUAGCAAUUAGAAAUUUAUAUCAACAAAAUGGUUUUGAAUAUAAAAUAAACUUUCGAUUGGAAUCUGAAAAAAAAGUGUUUUUUUCUCGUGCAAGGCGGUCUGCCGGCGGCAAGUGUUGCCGCCGACGGGGGGAGGCAGCACGGCAGCCAGUGCUGCCGCGCUGAGAUAGCGGUGCUCGCUGCCAUGGGCAGCUGCGAGCGUCGCUACUGUGUUUGCAGGCUUGCUGCUGCUAUCGAACAACAGCAGCAGUGAGCUGUUGUGCGCGGCAGGAAGCUGUCGCAAGCUGGUUAACCGGCGCUGACAGUGACGCCGGCACCGGGGGGGAGGGGAGGGGAGGGGAAGGGAGAACAACAACCAAAAAAAUAAAUAAAUAAGUAAAUAAAAUUGAAUUAGGGUUUCACUGUUAACGGGUGAAGGAGGUUGGAGGCAGGGCGCUCAUUGCAAUUAAUGUGAUUGCAGGCCCCCGCAUGCAAUUAUGCAAAAAAGGGGGGUCAAAUGCAAUUUUUUAGGGAGGACCUAUUCUGCAAUUAGCGAAUUGGAAGGGUUUGAUUUUUAAUUUUAACUUGGGUCAAAUUGCAUAUUUUGAAAGUGUUUAAAUUUGAAUUUUAAAACGUUUUUAAAAUUGAAUUUCAAAUGAAUUUGACCCAUAAUUUUAUUUUGAGCCAAAUUAAAAAAAAAUUAUUUAAAAUUGACGACUUUAAUAUUUUCGUUAAAAUAUGAUUUUAACUUAAAAAUUAAAUUUUGACCCCUAUUGAAUUUUAUUUUAUUUAGGAGUGUUAUCAUAAUUUAAAAUAUUGAUUCAAUUUAAAUUAAAGUUGGACUCUAAUUUACGACUUAAUUAAAAUUUGAUUUUAAUUAAUUUUUCGCCCGAAGAUAUUUUAGAAGUUAGAAUUGGAUUCUAAUUUGACAUUUAAUUAAAAUUUGAUUUUAAUUAAAUUGUUUUGCCCUAAACUUUUCUUUAAAUUAGAGUUAGACUCUAAUUUAAUGUUUAAUUAAAAUUUGAUUUUAAUUAAACAUGUUCGCCCUAAGAUCUCGAAAUUAGAGUUGGACUCUAAUUUGGUAUUUAAUUAAAAUUUUGAUUUUAAUUAAAUUAAUUCGCCCUUAAUUAUUGGAAUUAGAGUUAGACUCUAAUUUUGUUAUUUAAUUAAAAUUUGAUUUUAAUUAAAUUUAGCUGCCUCACAUUUUGAAAUUAGAGUUCGACUCUAAUUUAUUCAAUUAAAAUUUGAUUUUAAUUAAAUAUUCCCGCUAAUUAAAUAAUUGAUUAAUAUGAUUAAUUAAUUAUUUAAUUGUUCCGAUCUAUUUGUCUAAAAGAAUUUAGACGACUUAAUUGCUAGAAACUUAAAAUUAAUUUGCAUAUAAUAUUAGAUAUUAUAUAGGUAUACAUUUAUGUAAUGAAUGUAUUAUUAGUGGACAAUUAUGGAUUCGACCAUAUGGAUGUGUUGAAUAGUUAAUUUUUAUUCUUAUCGUUUUAUGGGUCUGCGAGCUCUUAAUUAUUUUGGACUUGUGAGCCCGUUAUUAUUGUUAUUAUUUUGGACCUGUGAGUCCGUUAUUAUUGCUAUUGCUAUGGGUCUGCGAGUCCAAUUUCAUUUAGGCCUGCGUGCCAACUAGUAUAGGAUACAAGUUGCAAUUGGACUAAUUGAAGAGACAAGAAAAAGAGGAGACCAUAGAGAUGGUGCAUUGAUACUGAUCAGUGUGAUACCCCCUAGGAAUUGACCAACUAGUCUUCCUUAUGGCUCGGGAAGACUAGCUAGUAAAAGUCCAUAAUUGUCCACACUAUUAUAUUAUGUUAUAUAUAUAUUUAUUUGCAUGGUAGAUGUAUAAUAAUAUAUAUAUGAUUGUAUUGUUCUUGAUGAGACUUUUGAAUACAAAAUCUAUCCGUAAAAUAUUAAGUCACAUUUGUGAGCCUUCCAUCAUUAUAGUGAAAAAUCAGAGUCCCAAAUCGUCUCAACUUGUUGAGUACACUCAAUGCUGGUCCAUUAGGGAUAUGUUUGACACUAUGAAAUAUUUAAUAUUUCUGAAUGACGGGUUUGACUUAACUAAAAAUUAUCUUUUGUUGAGUACACUCAAGGAGAUAAAUUUUAGAGGCAUGUUAAGCGAACACAUAAGAGUAUGAAAACAAAGAGUUGUUAGCUUAAUGAUCUGGGAGUUGUAUGGAGAUACAAUUGAUAACAAUAUCUACCCAAAUGUUAUAUUAAGGCUUGUUGAGUACACUCAAGGUCUUAAUAUAAUGGAUGGGAUCCCAGCUCACUGAGAGUCAAGUAUGGACUCCAUAAAUUUAUGUAAGAGGGUCAUAAAUUUUAUUUAAACAGUGGGAGCAUAAUUAAUUUAAUAAAAGUCCAUGUUAAAUUAAUUGAUGCAUUUUAUAUAUAUUAUUCUUUUCCUUUCCGUCAUUUACAUUUAUAUUGAAUCGUGAGUAACCAUAUGUUUUGAAUGGCAUACUAGAUGCCAACAACCAAACUAUAUUUUUUUAAUUGACACCGCAAUUUGAGAAUUGUUCUCAUGCAUGAGAAAAUUGGUCAUGUCCUUGAGUAGCCCUUUCCAGAGACAUCUACUGAUGACUCGAUUAAAGAAGAGGUGGCUACUGUAGUAAACGCAAUUAUGACAAUAGUACUGCAAUGUAUGUGAUACUUGCAACUAUGUCACUGAGUUACAAAAGCGACUUGAGAGUAUAGAUGUUAACACAUAAUUCUUCACUACAAAGAGUUGUAUGCUAAUAAUCGUGUGUGGAAGGAUAUGAGACUUCCAAACAACUAUAUCGGUGCAAAAUGACAAAGUAAUCUUCAAUCGAUACUUAGACAUUCAAGAUGAUUGACGUUGAUAAAUGUCUCAAUUAAGUUCAAUCAUAAAUCAUGAACCAAGUAGCGACUUGGUUCUGCAAUCUUUGUCAGAGAAAGUUAUUCAUAACUAAUUAUGAAUUUAACGUAAAUAAGCUCGAAUGCAAAAUUAUUAAGUUGCUUAACAUGCUUAGGACUGUUAAGCCCUUUAUCAAAGUUGGUAGUGGGCAAACCAUUGAUUCCUCUAAAUAUAUUAAGAGGAAGUCUAAAGGGGCUUUAUGAAAGCAUCCAAUAUGGUUAAGACAGUCUAAGCGAAUGAUAAUACCAAAUCUAAUGACCCUUGAUUUCAUUAUAGAAUGAAAGGUCAUUGGAAGGAAUAUUGUAUGGCUUACGUCUACUUCAUGAGUUUCUUAGGUAUAUGAUACUAGGUGUAAAUAUCGUAUUUAUAUAAAUAUGGAGAAACUAAAUAGAAGUAAACCACUGCAAAAAGGAGAAGUUGACAUAGACGUUAGAGAUGAGCAAAGGUUGCUGCAUUGCCUGUAUGAAUAUACUUCUUGCCAUUGCCUUUUGGUUUUAGUAUUAGAAUUAGAGAAAUGUCGCUUUAUACUCACCAUAGCUGAAACAUUAAAAUGAAUUUCAUGUUCGGACAUGAACAAUUUUAAUGUUAAGGGCAAUUGUUGUUCUUGUUUAUCUUGAUAAAGAUCCCAAUGGUUAUGGUAGAUUACAAAAUGAUGUUUAUAUUCUUUAAUAUUAAAGAUUCUAUAAUGAGUAUAGAAAUUAAAAGGCAUAAAUGCGAUAAUCUAAUUAUUACCAAAAUCUGGCAUGACAUACUUUGUCAUUUAGAUGAAAUGUAAUUCAAAAGCUACAUAAAGAUGUAUACUUGGGAUUAAUUGACUUUGACAAGUAUAAAUUAUGCAUGUUUGGCACAUUGACCAAAUCUUCUUUUACUUGAAAAGAAGAAAGGUCAGCAUAAUUACUGGUCUAAUGUAUGGUGAUGCAUAUGGACUCAUGUCAAAAGAUGCCAGGUAAUGUUUCUCUUAUUUCAUCAAUGAUCUUGUAUACUUGAUGAAAACUCAAACAUGAAAUUCUUGAAAAGUUCAAAGGAUUUACACUAAAAUUAGAGAAACAAAUAGGUAAAGAUACCCACACAUUAAGAUUCGAUCCAGUGAGAGUAUCUUAAAGAUAAAAUUUAGAUUAUCUAAGAGAGAAUGAGAUUCUCGUGCAGUGGACUCCUUCAUAUACACUGCAUCAAGGUGGUGUAUCUAAAAGGAGGAAUCGUUAAUUAUUACAUAUAAUGCGAUUAAUAACAAGCCAUGCAAAUUUCUCAAAAUUGUUUUGAGGUCACGCAUUGAUUGCAGUGUGCAACACACUAAACCAUAUCCCAUCUAAAUUGGUUAACAGAACUCCAUACGAGUUAUGGAAAGACAAGAGUCCCAAUUUAUUUUAUAUGAAAGUUUGGGACCAUGACGCUUAUUUGAAGUGCCUUAAAUCGGAUAAGUUUGAGAUCGAAUCCGAUAGAUACAUAUUUGUGGGAUAUUCAAAUGAGACAUUUGAAUAUAAAUUCUAUUAUCAUGAAGAAAAUCUUCGUCUCACGACAUAUCAUCUUUUUAGAGAAAAUGUUUACUCUUGGAGAAGACAGUGGGAGUAAAAUAGAAUUUGAAAGAGUUCAAGAGUCCACAGAUAUAGUUAACCAAGUAGAUAAAUCUGAGUUUGAUCCCAUAUCUGAUAUGGGACAUACUUUGGAUCAGGAAGUAAAGACUCAUGAGGACAUGACAGCUCUAUGUGAAUCUAGUAGGAUCAUUCGACCUUCCAGAAGAUGCAAAUUCAUGAUCAUUAAUCAGGUAUUAGUGAUCCAGGGCAAUGAACCUGAUAAUUGCAACAAAAUAAAGUCAAGUGUUGACUUAAAAGAGACAGCAUGAGGCCAUGAUACUCGAGAUGAACUCAACGUAUGUGAACAAGGUUUGGACCUUGGUUAAGCCUCCUGAUGGAAUAAAACCCAUAAGGUUUUCUAAAUAGUUUACAAGGGAAAUGUCGAUAUGGAAGUGGAUAUCCAUAUAUACAAAGCAAGGCUAGAAGCAAAGGUUAAGUGUUGACCUUGGUGAAACUUUUCUCCUGUGACCUUGCUGAAGUCCAUUCGGGUUUUAUUUGUAACAGUUGCAUAUCGUAACUAAAUGUUAAGAUAAGUCUCUAUAGAGCUGAAAUCUUCGAUUUGAUGGAAAAAGUCAAAGUAUUUUAUUUUAUCAAAUUUGAAGACGAAUUGUGUAUUUACAAAAAGAUAGUGGGAGCAUUGUCCUGUUCCUAAUAUUAUAGAAAACGAUAUCCCUAUGUUUCAAUCGUUGAAAUAAUGGUCGUUAAAGGAUUUAUUCAUAAACGAAAUGGGAUAAGCAACUUGAUUUAUAGAGGUAGAUCUAGAAGAUUGCUUAACUCAUCCGAAUUUACAUAGAUGAAAUCUUGAGAAGAUUUCAUAUGGAGAAAAUAGUUUACUCUUAAGAGGUAUGUUGGAAAGGUUCCAAACGUGAAGUAACCGUUGAUUCAAUAGUAGAAACCUAAUACAUGGAUACUUCAGAAGUAGCAAAGAGUUGCAAUAUGGAUCAUGAUGUUAGUAAAUGAACUUGGAGUAGUUCCUGAUAUUGUUGAUCACAUACAAUAAUAUUGUGAUAACAAUAGAGCCAUUGCGAAAGCAAAGGAACUAAGGUCUCAUCAAUGAUCCAAACAUGUAUUAAGGCGGUAUAAUCUCAUCAAAAAGAUAAUACAUAGAAAUGAUGUAAAGAGAAGAGCAAAUUUCCACAUUUAAUAAUAUUGCAGAUCCAUUGACAAAGAGUUGUCGUAGUAUAGACAUGAUCGUCAUGUAGACUUAUGAUAUUUGAUACAUAAGUGAUUGGAUCUAGUGCAAGUGGGAGUUUGUAAGUAUUAUGCCGUAGGUCCAAUCAACUUCGGACAUAAAUACUUUUAUAUAUAAUUAAUGCAAUUAAAUGGCAGAUCUAUUAUUUAAUUAAUAGACAAUUAAAUAAAUAAUAAAGUCGGUAGAUUCAAAUAUUUGUAAUUUGUUAAUCACAAGGAAUUGUGAUUGUGAGAUACAAAUUACAUCUGACUGAAUCUUAAAUCAUCCGUGGUCGUGAGUAAUAAUGAGAUACGGAUAUCGUUAUUACGGAUAGACCAUCACGUGUGGCAUUUCUUACUUGUGAAGUGAGUAGUUGAUCUCACAAGUUAAAGUGUGGUGACACUUAAAUGAACACGUGGAUGUUUUGUUAUAGAACAAAACAUUGGAGACCCGUCGAGAGAUUUCACAUGGAUAAUUAUUUGAGUGUCAGUGGUUAAUCUCUAACGUUCGGUAGUGGAAUUGGUCCUUUGACUUGAGGUCGUCAUGGUACCUUAUAUAAAGACAGUCAUACUUUGGCGAUGUUGGAUGUUGCUCUGAAAAGGGCUGCUAAUACGACAUCGUUCGGGUGCGUCAAGAACCGUAUGAAGGUUGUGAUUGAUCAAUAAAGGAUUCGUCACUCUUAGAUAGUAGGAGAUUAUGAUCUGCGUUGCAUUCAAUUAAGUCAAUGAUGAAAUCCUUGGUCAAGGUGUACUCAUAAGUCGAAAAAAGAGUUUUCGACUUAUAUUGACUUAAUAGUGGAGUGAAAGAUAUGAUCGAUGAUCGAGAUUGGCACAAUUCCGUAUCUCGUAAUUGAUCAGAUCAUAUUGACGAAGAGAUUAUAGUUUCACGGUAAACGAACGAAUUUGAUUUUGUCAUACCACGUGACAUGUCCUGUCACAUGUAUUGCCCUGACACAUUGCUAGAUGUCAAUCAAGGACGGCGAGUGUGAAUUGACGAUAAAUUAAAAGGGUGUUUUAAUUUAUCAAUUUAGAUUAGAUCAAAAUAAUAUUUCACGUCGUUAGGCAUCUGGUCGGGAACCUAAUGGCUCGCACAUAAAAGAAAAUUGGAAGAUUGUAAAUUACCAAUUGGUUAAUUUAAUAAUCGUUGGAUAAAUUAAUUAAUUGGAUUUGUUAUUUAUAUUCCCGAAUUAAUUAAUUGGAUUAAUUAAUUCACGGACCGAAUUUAAUUAAUUGAAUUAAUUAAAUAUUGGACCGGAUCGGGCCGAGCCCGUUUGGGUUUAUAUAAAUACAUAAUUAGGGUUUGAGUUCCAUAUGGUUUUCAUUAUUCUUGCUGGCACAAGAGAGAAAACCCUAGAAGCUGCAAUCUUAUUCUCUGUGUGGAUCACCGUUGGAGGUUGGACAAUUGGACAGCUGUGGUGGCGAAUCAAGACUGCAGAAUUCUUCAAAGGUACAAUCUUUAUCACGAUUUCUAUCUAAACACAAAGAGAUCCUCGGUGGGAAUCGAAAAUUAUUUUAAAUUUCGCUGUGCAUGUAUAAGUAGAUUCCCAACACAACGAUCGUGCACGCUUGCGUAUUUUGUCCAAACAAGUUUUUUGCUCCAUUGCUGGAGAAGAAUGGAUUUAAUUUUAGUUUACUAGUUUAUAUUAGAUUAUAUUUAUAUUUAUAUUUUUGUUGAUUUUAGCUACCCACCCUGAUCUCUAUUGUUUGACAUUCUUUCUAGGUGCUAUUCAGCAGUAUAUUUGGAUUCUGACGCUGGCAUGUUAAAAAGAUUUUUGCAAUAAAUAAUCUCGACAUGAACUAUAAGAUGAUAUUUAUUGUGUAUUCUACUAUGGGGUGCAUUAUAGUGGCUACUAUUUGAAUACAUGCACCAAACUCUAUCAGUUCAAGCUGCUACGGUUUACGUAAUAUUUAAGAUGUCAAAACUAGCAAUUGAUACAUAUAUUGAAGGCUACAUGCCUAUGGGCGAGUGUAUCCCUUUCGACACGCUUGUGGGAUUUGAUCAUUUCAUGUCGAACGAGGAGGUACUUGCAAAAUACUACACUAAUCUUGCUAAGUUGGAUGAAAACAAACUGUGUGUGAGAGAUGGCCUAUUCUGGCAGGAAUUUAAAAGGUGGGAGUAUAAUCCACUCAAAAAGUUUAAAAGAAAAGAGUUUCCAUGGCUCAUGGAUUUAAAUUGUGAAACGAUCAUUUAACCCAAGGAUAUAUCAAUUAUGGAAGAUGAAAACAAAGACGAUGAAAGUUCAAUUACAUAUGACCAAAACAAAGAUAAGGCAAUUAAUGAAGAAGGCGUUAACCCACAUUCCAUGGACUUCAUUGAUUGCCCUAUCAUUGAAUUUGUAAUUAAGCCGAAAGAGGAGGAAGAAGUUUAUGUAGUUGAAUUUGAAUCAGAUGAGAUUGGCAAGUCAUAUCAUAUUGGAGGGGGCAGUGUUAAAAUUUGUAGAAGCAACAAAGAGUGGAGCAAAGUCAAAAGAGGCAAAUUGAGCAAAGCAUCAAUAGUGUUCUUCAGAAUUCCAUGAUUUCAAAACAGUGAAGACAAGCUAAGGACAUUAAAUAAAGUGUUUAUUAGGAGGCAACCCAAUUUUUCUUUCCUUUAUUUAUUAUGCUUUCUAGUCAUAUGAUAAUUUAGUUUAUUUAUUAGUUUUAAUUAGGGACUCAUCAUCCAUUUGUCAUUUUCCCUUAUGUCCUCGAGAUUUAAUUAGUUUAUUAGAUGUUUGAGUUAAAUAACAUUUGUUCCAAAUAUUCAACCUUAAAUGUUUUUAUCUAAUCAUAUUGUGCAUGGAUAUGACAACAUAGAACACUGAACCAACAAUGACCAAGAAGACAAUGGAGAGCAAUUGGAAAGCUAGCUAUUGAAUAUGUGGAUUUAGAAUUUAAGACAUUGAGGAUAAUGUCUAGUUUAAGUUUGGUGGUGAAAACACGAGUUUUCUUUUGUUCUUUUGUUUUUGUUCAUGUUCUAUUGCUUUAGCUAUUAAACCAAAAAUAAAAUAAAAUAAAAUUUGAAAUGUUUAAAAAACUCCAAAACUAUUUUAUUUGUGCGAGUUAGUUGAUCUGGCAAGUAAUGAUGAAUUUAUUAAAUUAUAAAUUGAUCUACGAAUGAUGAAUAGGUUGCAUGCUUAGGUUAAUUUUUACUAUUCCAUGUGAAAGCUGAUAUAUAUUGAGCAAAUGAAUUAAGUUAAACAUUAUGUAGGAAUGACUUGAAUUCAUAAUUGGAUAGGUUAAAAUAGUGGACAUAGAUGCGAAACCCAAAGUCACUAAAUUCUACAUCCUUAGACCAAAUUUGGAAUAGUUUGGGAAGAUUUCAUUGUUGUAGAAAGAUGUUAAGAUAAAUGGGAAUUCCAUACGUGAAAUUAAAUAUCUUGUGGGGAUUCUCUAAGGUCAAUAGGAUGAAAGUGGAUGAAAGUCUUAAGUUAAAUGUCAAUUUACUUGAAUAGAUGUUUAAUGAGGGACAUUGCACUAAUCAAGGUAUAAAAAAUAUUUUAUUUGAAAAUUUUUCUUUGUGACCUUGAUGGUUCAAGCCAUUAAGCAUGUAAUAGUGUCAAAACUUGUUGCCCUAAAGUCAACUGACUUGAAAGACAUUGGUCUAAAGUUUGUCAAAUGGGCUAUUUAGAAUGCUUAAAGGAGAGAAUGCUGCAAAUAAAGAAAAUAGUGUUGAAAUAAAAAUUGAGGAAUAUAUAUAUAUAUAUAUAGAAAAAGUGGGUUUAUAAACAAAAGAUGUAUCAAAUACCUUGGUUAAACCCAAAACACUUAGCUAGGGAAAUUUUGACUUUUCAAAACGGAUUUUUAGCCUAGUUAAGUCCUGGAGAUUGAUGGAAUCAAAAUUAAAGGAAAAUCCUAGUCUAUUGGCAUGUUAAUAUGCAAUUGGUAAGAUUCUCCUAAACUAGAGAGGUGGGGAUAGUAUAAAAAUCAACUUUAGAUUACACACUUGAAAAGAGUGAAAAGAACAAGUUUGGAGGUAUUUGAAUCUCACAAGUGAAGAUAAGAACAUAUUUGACUAUCAAGGAUCGGGAAUGGAAGAACUUUUGAAUUCAUGAUACUAUUCUUAAUUCUUCACACACACACGUCGACUUUGCAUUGGAAAAUAGACUUUGAUUUCUUUAUUAUGAUCUUGAAGCUGUGCUUAAAUUUAAUAUCAUGAUUUCAAUUUGGAGAUAAAAUGUCAAGUUAGCUAGCUAAAUAUUUUUUCUUGCUUGCGUGUUUAUUUUAAGUUAGGUUAUAAUUUUGUUUGAGAACAAACAAAUGUUCAAGUUUGAAGGUUUGAUAAGCGUAUUUUACACACUUAUUUGAGCUCUAAAUAAUGACAUUUGUAUUUCUUUUGAUGAAAUAUAGUAUAAUUCGUGUUAUAUUAUGUCUAAUAGGUAAAACUCAUGAUUUGAUGAAAAAUUGGAGAAAACAAGAGAAAAAUGGCAAAAUAAAAACUAUGGGGAUUAAAAUUUAAUAAUUCAAAAGUUGUGCUACAUUGCGAGAUGGUGAUUCAAGAAUGAAAAGAGUCAAUUGGAGUUGAAGAGAAGUCAACAAGAUGAGAAAUUAUCAAAAAGAUAAUAAAAAAAAAUGCAUUGCAAAAUGUUCCAAGAUCAAUUUGCAAAAUUGGUUCCAAAAAUUUGUACAAAUUUGUAAAAGCUUAAUAAUACGGACCGAAUAAAGUAAAAUUUAAUACUAAAAUGACACAAAGCUUAGUACUAAGGACCAAAUAAGUGCACAAAAUCACACUUAUCUGUUACGAUCAUUGAACUUUCUUCCAUUUAGUUUUGAAUACAAGCGGUUUCUCUACCACCUAAUGUAUGCUAUUAUUGAAAGCCAACUAUUUGGCGAUUAUAUAGUGUGAAUAAAUCUUGUCAUUUAACUUAGGGUUCUUAGAUUUGUGUCCCCCUAGUGUGGCUAGGCACAAGGUAAAGAGUGUAGGCUUUAAUGGUUUUUAUGGUUUUGUCAUUAGUUCUCCUAUGUGAUUUUCUAUUCUUAGACUGUAUUACAUAGUCAAAAAGAAAUGAAGAUUGUCAAGAAUCAAGUGUAUAAUCUGAUAGAAGAUCAAUGGUUUGGUGAACGAUAUAUAUAUAUGACAAUAUUUAUACUUAUAAAGUAUGAAAACCCAUGGGCUACAAUUAUAGUGUGUGUAGAGUUAUUUUCAUUAAUAUUAUGUAUCUUUUAAAAAAAAAAUUGCAUUUAAAAUUUUUAUCCCACAACAGAAAUUGUCGGGCUCCGCCACAGCAUGCAUGUGUCAUGCAUCCCUAGUUCAAGAUGAAAAUGUUAUUGAGAGAGUAUAUGCAUUAAAAAAUUUAAUGUUCUGCAAAAAUUUCGAUUGAGACAGUUUUUGGAGUGUUUAAUGACUACUUGAAAAGUGUUGUCUUUUGUAUCUUUGAAUAUACAACUAUAAUGAACAUGCUUUUAUUGUUUAUCCCAUGCAUGGGAUCCACGUUCUUUUAAAUAAAUUUUUGUUUAGUCGGGUAUUCAAAAAUAUCAAACUAAAAAUGUUUUAAUGAUCUACAUUAUUAUUUAAAAAGAAUUUGGUUGGUUUUAAUAAUUGACAGUGCAAUAAUAAUGAACACUCAUCUAUUGCACACUCAUUCGUCAUUAAUAGUACACAUUCAAUAUACACACACUUUUAUCCACAAAUGCAUAGGAUCCACAUUUUAUAUGUUGACUGUUGUUCAUAUGGUGUUCAAAAACUUCUGAAUUUAAACACUUUUACAAUUGUUUCGUGACUAUUUAAAAGGGUAUGGCAAGGUUUUCCUCAUAGACAGUACAACGGUAAUGGUCAAUUGAUCUCGCCUUCUACCCACCACAACUCCAACACCACUUGGUUAAUUGACAACAAUGCCUUCAUAUUAAUACUCAUCAUAUCCCACAAAGCUCUUUGUAUCCACCAUUUUUAUAUUAACAAAUUUCUACCAUAAAUUCCAACUUUUUUUUUCUAAAGCUCAUGUGCUCUCAAUCUUACUAUCUAAACGAAAAUAUUUCAAUUUGUAAAACCUAGAAAAUACAGAUGGAGACCUAGAAAAUCUGUGGACAGUUGUAUAUACUUAGUUGUCAUCAUCAAAUGUGAUGAUGGUGUCUACAUCACGGCCCAAUCACAAUCUUCCUAGUACCCUAUUACAUUAUUUUACCAAUCUCCAAUCUCAUCACAGUCAGGCUUUCAAGUCUAUGAACAUGGAGGAAAUUCUAAAGAAUAUUUACUAUGAUUCGGAGUGUUUUGCUUUGGAUAUAAUGGGAUUGCUUGUUUUCGUGUUGGUCCUGGAGGAGAAUUGAAGAUAAGGAGUAACUGGGAGGACUACAAGAAAAAUAAAAAACAAAAUCAAUUUUAUCUAAAUAUGGAGAUAACUUGCUUCAAUUUCGCAACUUUAGCAAGAGGAAAGUAUUUAUUAGAGACUUUCUAGACUAGAUCAUUCCAGUGAUGAAGUUUGGAGUAUGAGUCCAGCCAUUCUCUUUGAUUCUGGUUUGAUCUUUAAAUUGAAAAAAAAAAGUUAGAAAAGAGACAACAUGAGAAUACCAUCUAUGGGUCAUUACAACGUGCACGUGUUGUGCAUUCGUUGCUCAAGAAGGAAAAAAGUUACUGAGAGUAUGUAUGUGUGUGUGUGUGUGUGUAUAUAUAUAUAAAACUCAAACUCAAGUGAAAUGAAGCCCCGACGGGUAUACCGGUGGUUGAUUAGAAGAGGAAGCAUGCCCUCAUAUGCUGCUGGAAGUAAAGGCUCUUACUUUCCCUCUCAUAGUUCGAUCCCAUUGUGAUCUCAUUUUGUAUUACUAAAAAUUAGGGCUAGAUAAUACUCCCGAACCUAAUCAAGUGGUUUAAUUCGAUUCUUGUUUGAUUAAAUACCUGAAUUGGAACUAAAAUUGAGAAUCGACGGAUUUAGUUUAGUUCUUGGUUCUAGAUCAAAAAUCGAAUCUCCCAAUUUUUUAAAAAUGUUUUAUAUUGAACAAGCGAAAUUAUUUUAAUUUUUUUCUAAGCCCUUGUUUGAGCCUCAUUUUUUCAAAACUUAUUUUCAACCACACAUUCUUCUAUAUAAUAAUUAUACACGUAUUUUAUUUUUAAAAAAAUUCCCUACUUUUUAAUCACACAUCCUCCAAAAAACCACUAUUCCAUAAUGCCUUUUAUCCCAUAUUUUUGAAUCAAACAUGGGGUAAACAAAUUUGUCAAUUAAUUAAUUAAGUAAUUAACUGUAAUUGCGCAAGGCUCCAACUCUCUAGGGCCAACCCAACUCAAGUCCAAAAUAUUUUUGCUACAAAUUUCAAUUCGACUACAACUUUACUUCACAAUUCGCCCGACACUCACUUAUUCUGUCAUUUAGGUUUUUCCAUGACCCUCAUUUUCGGCCGCUUCCCAAUCAGAAGCCACGACUUCAUCUUUCCUCCUCAAGAUUCACACGGACCACACCAUCAUAUCAUAUAUUUUUCCAUAUUAAAUCUUAUUAGUUGGACAAUUUUUUGAUUAGUUGUGCUUGUUAGAUAUGUUUUUUCAAUUAUCUCUCAUGGAGUUUUUUAGUAUGACAAGUCAAACAACGGAUAAAUAAUUUAAAUGGUAGAAAAGUACUAGCAAUACUAAAAAAUAUUUUAUUUCUAUAACUUUUAUUUUAUAUUUCACUGUUUCAUAUAUAUUUGUAGGCUUGAAGAAAAGGAAUCAAUGGAAUAGAAUUAUCGAUAUUUGAGCGUUGUUAUUUACUUUUUGGUGAUUUGUAUGCAUUGAUUAAUGGAACUUAUUAGACAACUUGUUAUUUGUAUAUUUUGAAUCUGAACUAUGUUAUUUUUUAGGAGUUAAAAUUGAACAUAUCAUUGGUUGCAUUAAUGUAGUGUUGAUUUAAAUAUUAAAAAAUUUAAUUAUAGUACGAAUCCGAAUGGGACCAAACUGAUCAGUUCCAUAAUUAAAUUUUGAUUUGACUAUUAUACUUAAUAAAUAACUAAAAGUUCUGGUUUGGCCUACUAAAAAUGAUCGGAAGUAUCGUAAUACUUAGUCACAUUUCCUUCCCUUCCCAUAUGGGAAAAUUACAUUGAAUGUUCCGGGGAUUUAAAAAUAAAAUAAAAUAAAAUCAUUUCUAAUUGAAAUCUGAAUUUAUAUUUCUUUAGCAAUCUCUGUUUCCAACAAAUCUCGUAUUAUUGUCAUACAUAAUUACAUGAUACAAUAUUCCUGUUUUCCUAUGAUGUGCUUUACCGUCUAUGUUUUACCUUGUGCAAUUUACAAUGACAUGCACUACUUACAAUAUAUUGGACAAUCAAGGAAAGGAUGAUUACAAAAUCAUUUUUAAAUUUGGCUCUUUGUUUUAGCUUAUGCCAUUCAAGUAGCUUCUUUUGCAAAGUUAUGGAUACAUCCAUUUAUAUCUUCGUACAACGGCCUCUUAUGUUUUGACAUGGAGUAAUAUGGUAGUUAAUGAUUUCUAGGGAGAAUUUUCUGAGGCUUCAGGUAGAUAUGUUAAUAAAAACGGAAUCCGACUUAUCACUUUCCUGUAUGAUGCAAGUCAAUCCCCCAACAAGCUCCCUAUACGAUGUCACGAUAUUCCUUCAAUAGGUCAACCAGUGAAAAAUAAUUUGAUGAUGCCAAGAUUUGAGUUCUUUCUAUCGCCAGGCAAGAUAACGAUUAUCUUGAGGGUUUGUUGUAAUAGACGAUUCACAGAAAAGUAAACAAAAGAAUAACACCCAAAACACAAAGAAACUUCUCUUAAAUUCACUCAAUAUUAUUAAAACUCCAGAAUGCAAAAAUAAACCCACAAGUCGGGUUAAAUAGCUUAGAAAAUACGAAAUUAUGGAAAUUUUAUCAAAAAUAUCAAAAUCCCAAAAAUCACACCAAAAUAAAAUACGAAAUAAAAGAAGUAACUUUGUGCGCACCAAAAAAAGCUUUCCAAAUUGAUGUCAUAAUUGCGAUUUUGAUAACCAUUGCGAAAGUUAUGGCCAAACUACCAAAAAAAAGUCAAAAUUACCCCAAUUAAGAAAAGUAUUGCAAUCACUUUCCAUCUUUGUGCAGAUCCACCAUCUCAUGGUAUUUCAGCACCAUCAACGUUCUAUCUAACAUCUCGGCCUCACUUGAUUCGGAACCUCCUGCAUCAGUUUCCAUCCAAAUGCUAUUUGUUGCUACUUUUUACGGCAUGCACCUAUACGCCGCAUAAUACUUAUUACGAUGUGCAAUGCAUGCCGUAAAAAGUAAACUUUGUUGUAGUGUUUCCAAUUUACAUGAUACAAUGUCCCCUGUUUCUUUGUUGUACUUCACAAUUUAUACUUUUUCUUUUUGGUAAAAUGUCCAUCGAAAUGCUUUGCUUAUACAGAUUUAUUAUGAAGGUCAAAGUGCUUGAAACCAUAAAAGAAAGCAUAGAUCUAAUGAAAAGCAUCUUCGUGUUGGAGGGUGUAACAUAUCAAUACGGUGUAGCCUAUACAUAUUCUGAAGAUUUAUAUAAACCCUCACAUGACAAGAUACUUAUUAGUUAACAGUAAGCACAUACAAAGAACAAAGGCACGACCUAUUCUGUAAUGUCUUGAAAAUGAUUAUCAUCAUAUAUCCAAUAUUUAUGUGUCCCCCGAGUAAUUAAGAAUCAAUGAUUUAAAUUGUUACAUGAAAAUAAUGGAGUUUAAAUCACAAACCAAACCAACAAAAACCAUUUGGUUGCUUCACAAUUGGCCUUUGUUGUGAGAAACAAAUUUGUUUUCUUUCCUAUGGUUCAAUUCCCAUGGUCCAGUUGGAGGAUAUUAACAAAAUGGAUAUCUAAAGUACGCUUUAUAUUUAGUCAAAUUCUUUCCUUUCCGAUAUGAGAAAAUUAUAUUCAAUGUUUCGGCGACAAAAAAAAGAUUUCCUUUUAUUUUCAUUGAUAUGCACUACAUACCCAGAUGUAUUAGAUGAUCAAGGAAAUGGUGACAAAAAAAUUACGGUCAUAUUUGGUUCUUCGUUUUAGUGUAUGCCAUUUUAUGUAACUUCUUUUGUAAAUUUGUAGAUACAUAUGUCUGUUUAUUUCUUUUGGUUGCUUCACCAUUGGCCUUUUUUUAAACAAACACUCUAGUUUUCUCUCUUAUUGUCGAUCCCUGUGGUCCAAUUUAAGAAUGCUGUUAUAUAAAGUACCCUUGAUAUUUAGUCACAUUUCUUCCUUUCCCAUAUGAGAAAACUACAUUCAUUGUUUUGGCGAUAAAAAUGGAUUUCUUUUGAUUUGAUGUAUGGAUUCUGUGAGUGUAUUAUGUCAUCGGAAAUGAGUUUUAAUUAAAUCUCUCAUAUCAUCAUUAUACAUGAUUUACAUGAUACAAUAUCUUCUAGUUUGUGUUGUGCUUCACAAUCUUUGCUUUACUUGCUAUCAUAUACAUCAAUGGGCAUUACUUACACAGAACUAUUUCACGUUCAAGGAAAGGAUGAUUUGUGAAUUUCUGGAUUAGAUCAUUCCAAUGGUGCAGCUUGGUGGAUGUGAGUCCAACAAUACUGUGGGAUUCCAAUAAUUGCAAAAAAAGUAAGAGAAGAGACCAAAAGAGUAGCACUUGCAUGAGUCGUGCAAACAUCGUGCAUGUGUUGUGCGUUCGUUGUUCCACAGGAAAAAGGUUAUUGAGAAAGUACAAGUAUUAAAAAUUCAAUGUUCCACAAAUUUCAAAUGAAACACAAUUUUAUUAUUGUUACUUGACUAUUUAAAAGGAUUUGAUUGGUUUCCUUCCAUGGAAACUAUAUUUACAAAAAUGUGUUUCGUUCAAAAAUUUCUGUUAAGGCAUAUUUUUGGGAGUUUUACAUGACUAUAUAAACACAAUUUGGUAGGUUUCUGUUAUUGAUGGCCAAAAUUAUAUUGAACAUGCAAUUAUUGCCCACCCAAUGCAUAAGAACCAUGAUCUUAUAAAUUGAUUUUUGUUUGGCCCAGUAUUCAAAAAUGUCAAGUAAAACACAUUUUGAUGAGUGUACAUUAUUAUUUAAAAGGAAAUUGGUCUGUUUUCAAUGAACACACAUUCAUUGUACGCACAGUGCAUGGGACUGACGUAACUUUUGAUGAGAUAAUCGUUCAAAAUAUUUAAUGAGAUGCAUUUUUGUGAGUGUUACAUGUCUAAUUAAUAAAUGAUUGGCCAGUUUUCAUUAAUGAUAGUGCAAUGACAUGAGCAUUUAUUUAUUUUCCACUCAACGAUAGGACCCAAAUUUUAUAAAUUCAUUUUUUUCAUAUGUUGGUCAAAAUUUUUGAAUCUAGACAUUUUUAGAAUUUUAUAAAUUUGAUUUUAUCUCCUUUUACUUUUCUAUGUCAUUAUUCAUCAUUGAGGUAUGAGAUUUUGACAUUGCAAUUGAUUUUGGAGGAAUGUUAGAAAUUAUAGGUUCUAAUGUUUAUGUUUGAUUUCCUGUCCUUUUUCCUUCAGACCUUUUCACCCAAAUCUGUGCUCCAAUUGCAAUAUGUAUUAUAAAUUUAAAGUGCAAAGGAUUAUGACUCGGUUAUGAUUGAUGGGCACUUUAUUUCCAUUGGACACUGAAAGAAAAAAUAUUUGAAUCAAAGCAUUUGGGCAAGGGUAUUGAUUUUAACCUCCUUAUCACUAUCCCCCAGACUAAUGAAGGUUUGUUUGUUUCUAUAAGAAUUUUUUUGAGACUUUUAAUUGUUAAAACAAAUUCUGUGCGUGUUAACUGUUACAGCUCCAUUGAGUGUCAUUACCGCCUCAAUUUUAUUGUAUUUUAAAUUAUAAUAGUAAAACUAUGAACCAUUUCGGCUAUGAUCAUUGAAUUUGCUUCGAUGUAGUUUUGAAUGCAAACGGUUUCUCUAGCACCUCUUGUAUGCUAUUAUUGAAAGCCAACUGAUUCGUGAUUAUAUAUUGUGAAUAAAGCUUGCCAUUUAACUUACGGUUCUUAAAUUUGUGUCCUCUAGUGUGGCUAGGCACAAGGUAAAUAGUGUAGGCUUUAUUGAUAUUUAUGGUUUUGUCAUUAGUUCUCCUAUAUGAAUUUUUAUUCUUAGACUGUAUUACGUAUUUAAAAAGAAUUGAAGAUUGUCAAGAAUUGAGUGCAUAAUCGGAUGGAAGAUCAAUGGUUUGGUGAAUGAUGUAUUUGAAAAUAUUCAUAAUAGUGCUAUUAUACAAAGUGUUUAAAGUAUGAAAACCCGCAAAUCACAAUUGUAGUAGUGCACUAACUAUUUUCACUAAUGUUAUGUAAAUUUUUAAAAAAUUUGCAUUUAAUUUUUUUAUCCCACACAGAAAUUGAAUGUCUACGCCACUGCGUGCAUGUGUUGUGCGUUCCAAUUUCAAGAUGAAAAAGUUAUUGAGAGAGUAUAUGCAUAAAAAAAAAAAUCAAUGUUUUGAAAAAAAAAAAAAAAUUCAAAUGACACACAAUUUUUGGAGAGUUGCAAGACUACUUGAAAAAUGUUUUGUCUUUUGUAUCUUCAAAUGCACAACUUUAAUGAACACACAUUUAUUGCUUACCAAAUGCAUGAGAUCCACGUUUGUUUAAAUUAACUUUUGUUUAGUUGGGUAUUCAAAAAUAUCAAACUAAACAUGUUUUGAUGAUCUACAUUAUUAUUUUAAAAAAAUUUGCCUGGCUUUAAUCAUUGACAAUGCAAUAAUAAUGAACAUUGGCAGAUUUAGGGUGGAGAAUGGUAGUUCACUUGCCGCACCAAUUUUUAUUUUUUUUUAUUUUUUUUGGUUUUUGUUUUGUUGCUAGGGGUUUAAUGAAAAAUGUAUUACAUUGUUAGUAGGGGAAAAUUGGGAUUGUGUAUUAAUAUUAUGGUUAUAUUAUUUGUAGGAUUUUGAAAUGGACAAAUUUCUAAUUAUUCGAAUAAUUCUAAUGUUUUAAAUUAGUAAAUAGUGGUUAAUAUAUUUCAUUUUAUUUUAUGUUAAAUUUAAUAUCAUUCAAAAAAAUUAAUAGUUUUUUUCCCAAUUAUUAUUGCACUAUAUUUUGGGUAAUCAAACUAUGUUAUUUUAAUCUUGAUUUAUACUGAAAGUUCAAAUUAUAUUUGAUUGAUUUGUACAUCUUCUAAUAAAGUGCUUAGAUGGCUUACGUUCAAAUGCUAUUUGUUGCUACUUCGUAAAUAGUACUCUUUUUGGGAUAUGUAUUGCUUUUCUGAUAUUUAUUUCUUUGUUUUUAUUGCAAAAAAAGAUUAAGUAAANCCCCCCCCCCGGGGGGGGGGGGGGGGGGUUAAUGAAAAAUGUAAUACAUUGUUAGUAGGGGAAAUUUGGGAUUGUGUAUUAAUAUUAUGGUCAUAUUAUUUUUAGGAUUUUUAAAUGGACAAAUUAUCUAAUUAUUCGAAUAAUUCUAAUGUUUUAAUCAGUGAAUAGUGGUUAAUAUAUAUCAUUUUAUUUUAUGUUAAAUUUAAUAUCAUUCAAAAAAAUUAAUAGUUUUUUUUCCCAAUUAUUAUUGCACUAUAUUUUGGGUAAUCAAACUAUGUUAUUUCAAUCUUGAUUUAUACUGAAAGUUUAUUUGUACAUCUUCUAAUAAAGUGCUUAGAUGGCUUACGUUAAAGAUUUAGCAUCCGUAUGGCAAAUUUAUAAAAAGCUUAUGAAGAGGCGAAUGCUGAAACAAUGUCACGAGUUGCCUUAGGCGUAAGGCGUAAGAACAAGCACUUAAGCUCCUACAAGUAUAUGGUUAAAAACCUUGCCUUUUCAAGUAUAUAAUUUCUAUGCCUUGUUAUUAAAUGCCUCAUUUCUUACAUUCUAUAACUCAUCAUCCGUUCAUCAACUGGAAUUCUAGCUAGCGUCCAUUGUUUUUUUAAGGUCUUUAAUGUCUCAAUCAGUCGAAUGUGAGAACAAGUCUUAUAAACAUAGAAUGGAAAAUAAAUUUAAUCCUUCUCGGAUUGUGGGUGCACGAAUCUUUGAAGAAUUCGUCUCGAUCAUGCACCUCAAAAAUGAAGCCAAGUUUGGUAAGACCAUUAUGCUUGAUUAUAUGUUUGUCCUCAAAGACAUAAUUUAUGUCUUAUUAAUAUGUCUUGAGAUUUUGUAGUAUUUUCUCAAUACACGGCAAAAGCCACAUAAUAAAUUUAGACGUUGCUUUUCCUCAUAAAUACCACCUAUUAUGUUUGCAUUUAUAUCUUAAAAUUAUUCCCUGUGAGGAUCAUGGCUAAAAAGAAACUAUGCUUUUUUUUUGUUCUUUAUAAACUUGUUUGAUUUGGGAAUUUGGCUGUACCCCUAAUUCAAAAAUGUGUGUUUAGCACUAAUAAUGAACACCCAUCUGUUGUACACCAAAGUAUGUAGCCCACGUAAAUUUUGUUUGGACAGGUAAUCAAAUUUCAAACGAGAUGCGUUUUUAUGAGUGUUACAAGACUAUUUAAAAAGAUUGGUUAGUUUCCAUCAUUAAUUGUACACAUAAAAUGAACACGCACUUUUAUCUACCAAAUGUGCAGGAUCCACAUUUUUAUAUGUUGGCUUUUGUUCAUAUGGUGUUCAAAAAUUCUGAAUUUAACCCUUGUUUGAGUCUCAUUCUCUUGAUAAGAAUGAAUUUUGAAUAGUGAAUUGAUGAAAAAUGUUUGGUUAAAAAAUAAGGAAAUAUUUUAGAUUUACGUGAAAUAUUAUUUUAUUGAAGAAUGUGUGAUUGAAAUGAUGCUAAAAUAUUGUUAAGAAUGUAUUUUUUCAAAGAAUGGGAAUCAAAUAGGGGCUAAAACAUUUUUACAAUUGUUAUGUGGUGUGAGUAAUUGCAAAAUUUCAGAUUCGGAUUCUAAGUUGAUGAUGCGAAAAUCAGCCGAUUUUGAGCCGUUUUUUGCCACCCAUGCUCUGAUACCAGAUGUUAGGACCUUCCUCUUGCUGCUCACGCUGAUUCCCAAAUUUAACCCUUGUUUGAGUCUCAUUCUCUUGAUAAGAAUGAAUUUUGAAUAGUGAAUUGAUGAAAAAUGUUUGGUUAAAAAAUAAGGAAAUAUUUUAGAUUUACGUGAAAUAUUAUUUUAUUGAAGAAUGUGUGAUUGAAAUGAUGCUAAAAUAUUGUUAAGAAUGUAUUUUUUCAAAGAAUGGGAAUCAAAUAGGGGCUAAAACAUUUUUACAAUUGUUAUGUGGCUAUUUAAAAGGGUUUGGCUGAGUUUUCCUCAUAGAUAGUGCAACGAUAAAGGCCAAUUGAUCUAGCCUUCUACCCACUACAACUCCAACAUCACUUUAUUAAAAUGACAACUAUGCCCUUCAUAUUAAUACUCGCCAUAUCCCACAAAGCUCAUUGUACCCGUCAUCUUUAUAUCUACAAAUUUCUACCAUAAAUUCAAAUUGUUUUUCCAAGGCUCACGUGCUCUCAAUCUUACUAGCUAAACUACAAUAUUUCAAUUUGUGAAACGGAGAAAAUACAGAUGAAGUCCAAGAAAAUCUAUGGACAGUUGUAUAUACAUAGUUGUUGUUGUUAGGACCUUCCUCUUGCUGCUCACGCUGAUUCCCGGGCUCAGUUAACCAUUAAAACCGAGUUUCAACAUCAAACUGGAAGAACCCAUACCGCCGGCUACUCUUCUUCCUAUGGUUGCUUUCUUCUCUUGCUUAAUUGAUUCAAUCCACACACUUAGGAUGGAUACCACUCAGGUAAGGUUCACAAAGACUCAAGCAAUUUGGGUGGAGAAGAAAUCACGAAGGAGAUGAAGGCAGAAGAACUCGGCAGUUUCUCACGGCUUGGACACGGUUGGACGGCUUCAACUUUUGGACGGUUCCAACAAAGGCAAAGGCACCAAUAUAUAUAGUAAGUCAAGUGGCCAACAUAAGGUAAGUCGGGAUAUGGUAAGUAGGCUCGACUAGGGUUAACUUCCAAUGGAAGAAAUCAACAAGCCACAAAGAAUAUUAGCCGUCCAAUAGGUAAGGCAACGUUUGGUCGGUUCAUCCAUUAUUCGAUGUUGAAUUAUCGUUCAGUCAUUUAUGUCGACUGAUAAAAUUGGUUCUCAUCAUCGCCCGGGGGUCGUUUGACAACAUAAUGUCUAACA